Molecule: long non-coding RNA, 322 nt
Filed under: Equus caballus (horse)
Lineage: Eukaryota; Metazoa; Chordata; Mammalia; Perissodactyla; Equidae
Description: lncRNA (ENSECAG00000051828.1)
Source: RNAcentral
AGCUUGGCUGUCACACAAGGAAAAGGACACUUACCCAGUCAGUUCAACCACAGAUGGCCCCAGGAACUGCUGACGUGCACUUAGCCAUCGAAGGGUGCCUUCGGUGAAAGACAGUCACCAAACGUUUCAGAACAUGACUCCCACAGGAAAACAACACAAGGAGACACAAGAAACUAAUGAAAGUGGCUAUCUAUCUGGGGGAGGAGGUGGCGAGUGUGGUGGACAGAAACAAGAUUGAAACCUGGCCCAAGAAGAGACAACGCACCAACUGCAUUAGGAACGUGAGCCUGUUCGUGAAUGAGUCAAGUCUGCACGUGCCCCG